CCUACGUGAGGCAGCAGUGAGGAAUAUUGGUCAAUGGCCGAGAGGCUGAACCAGCCAAGUCGCGUGAGGGAUGACGGCCCUACGGGUUGUAAACCUCUUUUGUCGGGGAGCAAAGAGAGUCACGUGUGGCUCAUUGAGAGUACCCGACGAAAAAGCAUCGGCUAACUCCGUGCCAGCAGCCGCGGUAAUACGGAGGAUGCGAGCGUUAGCCGGAUUUAUUGGGUUUAACGGGUGCGCAGGCGGAGGUGCAAAUCAGUGGUAAAAUUGCGGGGCUCAACCCCGUACUGCCGUUGACACUGCAUCCCCUGAGUGCGCGAGAAGUAUGCGGAAGGCGUGGUGUAGCGGUGAAAUGCAUAGAUAGCACGCAGAACUCCGAUUGCGAAGGCAGCAUACCGGCGCGCAACUGACGCUCAUGCACGAAAGCGUGGGUAUCGAACAGGAUUAGAUACCCGUGUAGUC
This 459-nucleotide ribosomal RNA is filed under the name uncultured bacterium. RNAcentral's name for it is "partial 16S ribosomal RNA". It matches the Rfam family "Bacterial small subunit ribosomal RNA", at positions 338 to 795 of the family's 1533-position model. The record is from RNAcentral.